AGAAUCAACGCUGGCGGCGUGCCUCAGACAUGCAAGUCGAACGCGAAAGUCUCCUUCGGGAGACAAGUAGAGUGGCGCACGGGUGAGUAACACGUAGGUAAUCUACCUUCGGAUGGGGAAUAACAAUCGGAAACGGUUGCUAAUACCGCAUAAUGCAGCGGCACCUAAUGGUGACAGUUGUUAAAGCGGGGGAUCGAAAGACCUCGCGUCUGAAGAGGAGCCUGCGGCGGAUUAGCUAGUUGGUAAGGUAAUGGCUUACCAAGGCGACGAUCC
This 273-nucleotide ribosomal RNA is filed under the name uncultured bacterium. Its description in RNAcentral is "partial small subunit ribosomal RNA". It matches the Rfam family "Bacterial small subunit ribosomal RNA", at positions 26 to 282 of the family's 1533-position model. The record is from RNAcentral.